GGAGACACAUGGCAAAAUAGGAGAUACAGGACCCCAGACGAAUAGGUAAGACAUACCUAACGGAAAGACACAAAUCUGACAGGGCCAAAGACACAACCGAGCACUAACCCCUCAUUGAACCUACUGUCCACGAGCAUGCAGAUGAGAAGAGGAGACCACUAACCAGCCAACUUUAGACACCAUUACUCACACCAAAAGAAGCACCGUGACAUAACAACUGGACGGUAGAAACAGCCCGACCGCCACAGCAUAAAGACCACAAAUACGCUUGACAUCAGACAACAAUCUGGGGGACUGAAAACUGCUCAACAGGUAUUGCCC
Pelobates cultripes (western spadefoot toad) is the source of this 321-nucleotide non-coding RNA. Lineage: Eukaryota; Metazoa; Chordata; Amphibia; Anura; Pelobatidae. The record is from the annotation of a GenBank genome assembly.